AGCGAACGCUGGCGGCAGGCUUAACACAUGCAAGUCGAGCGGGCACUUUCGGGUGUCCGCGGCGGACGGGUGAGUAACGCGUGGGAACGUGCCCUCUGGUUCGGAAUAACUCAGGGAAACUUGAGCUAAUACCGGAUACGCCCUUUUGGGGAAAGGCUUGCUGCCGGAGGAUCGGCCCGCGUCUGAUUAGCUAGUUGGUGAGGUAACGGCUCACCAAGGCGACGAUCAGUAGCUGGUCUGAGAGGAUGAUCAGCCACACUGGGACUGAGACACGGCCCAGACUCCUACGGGAGGCAGCAGUGGGGAAUAUUGGACAAUGGGCGCAAGCCUGAUCCAGCCAUGCCGCGUGAGUGAUGAAGGCCUUAGGGUUGUAAAUCUCUUUUAUCCGGGACGAUAAUGACGGUACCGGAGGAAUAAGCCCCGGCUAACUUCGUG
Molecule: ribosomal RNA, 435 nt
Filed under: uncultured bacterium
Lineage: Bacteria
Description: partial 16S ribosomal RNA
Rfam family: Bacterial small subunit ribosomal RNA
Source: RNAcentral